Fukomys damarensis (Damara mole-rat) is the source of this 3911-nucleotide long non-coding RNA. The record is from Ensembl. Lineage: Eukaryota; Metazoa; Chordata; Mammalia; Rodentia; Bathyergidae.
AUUUACUUCUUUUUUCAGAACUGCUAAAAGUCGAUCCUAUUUUUAUUUACUUUUUCAUGUCGGGGGUGGGGAAACUGAGCAGUGAGAUGGGCUCAGGGUGGCGGAAGGCAGAACCCGGGUCCCCCUCCCCCGAGGCAUCUUCCUCCGUCUCCUAAGCGCUCGGCUGCCCCGGGCCUGGCUGGGACGGACACAGACCCGAGCGCGGAUCUGCUCGUGGGUCCGUCUGGGCAGGGCGGUGAGGACCAGGCUCUGGGGAAGGAGGCCCGAUGAGUCAGAGAUGUCCCGGCCCGCGUCCCACCGCGAAGUGACGUCCUGAAGGCGGCGAGGACGGACGAGGCCGCGCGGGGCGCACACCCGGCCCACGGCUCCGCCCGCCCGCGGCCCGCACGAUCGUGACACGGGUGGCUCGGAUGCACCUGCCCGCGAUUCGCCUCCUUGGCUCUCGGGAGCUCCCGUUCUCGCCUCUCCGUUCCCGGCCUCCCGGCCCCUCCCGCCACGGCUCUGGUCUCCUGCGCCUCGGGGCCCCAGCCCGCUCCUCCCAGACCCGCCCCGCUGCAGCGCUCUCCGACCCUGUGUCCGCGCAGUCCCGGGUCUGCGCUUCCCCUCCGGUGGGGGCAGGGGGAAGCAGGGGCUCCCGGAAACCGACUCUGGGGUCAGCAGGACCAGCCGGCUACAAGGGAGCAGGUCUGGCUGUUCCUGAGCUACUCCGGGAGCAGGGUCCCCAGAGAGCAGAGUACAGGUCCACUCUUUCCCCGACUGCUCCCCACCCGCUCCGGGAGCCCCACGGAGCCAUUGUCCUCCGGCUCCCUACUGGGCCUCUCUUGGCAAGGACCUAGCGGCUUCUCUUAUUUACCCAUUAACAAUUAAGCUCUAGGCAUUUAACAUAUAAACACAGACAACAUCAGCAUAAUUACUGCGAAGAUUUCAAAAGCUUUUUGGCAGGGAAGAACUUGAAUAUUUACUUAACAAAAGAAUUCCUUGCUUCAGUCUUAAGAAAGAAUUCACAAUAGGAUUUAACAAGCCAGCUUCUCCAGUAAAUUAAAAACACUCUUUCACUCAUUCAAAUAUGAUUUGUGUUUUUAAAAAUGUGACUCAUGCACAACUUCUCAAGAGAGCUCUCACAAUGUCUUUCCUGCGGGGUCUGUUCCCACAUCAUCUUCCAUUAUUCCUCACGUCUUGAGAUCCUUGUCUGAGCAGAGGUGAGUCAUACAGAGGGGAGGGACCUGAAGUUCCACCAUUAGGUGCCCUUUCCUUUGUUUUAAACUUGUCUUCUACAGAUGAGUUUCCUGUGUUAUGCAAGAAGAGUAUUUCAGAGCUAUGACUCUGUCAAGUAUUUCUUCUGUGACUAAAGGGAUAUAAAGCAGUCUGUUGGAGUUCGGGGACCUUGGGAAGAGAAGAGAGGAGCAGGAGAAACCAACCCUGUGGGUUUAUUGAGGGAGAAGAGGACACUGACUUGUUUGAUCAUUUAGUCAUCUAUUAGGAUUCCAAUAUUUCUACCAUUGCCAGAUGCCUUAGUUACCUUUCUAUUCCCGGGACACAAUAACUAACACCAGUAACUCAAAGAAGAAGGGCUUUAGGGCCGGGGAGUUAGCUCAGUGGUUGUGCCGCCUGCCUUGCAAGCCCAAAGUCCUGUGUUCAAUCCCCAGUGCCGGGAGUGGUGGUUAAAUUUGGCUUAUGGUGGAACAUCACGGCGAAAGCAAUGCUGCUCACCUCAUGGCCUCUGGGAAGUGAAUGCAGGAGAAAAUAGGAAGGGGCCAGGGAAUAAACAUGGUCCCCAAAGUCACUCCUCUAUGACCUACCAAGGCACACCAGAAGUGUAAUGUCCUAGGCAUCUUUCAAGCCAGUAAGUUGACAAUCAAGAUCAACCAUCACACUAGACACCUGGGAUGCACAGGUAACUAGGAAAAGAGCAUAGUCAGGCUGCCCAGUGCAACAAGAUGAAAAGUCAGGCACAGAAUGCAAAGUUGGUAGAUGGACUGCACAGGGAGAGGGUCGGGGGAAGUGUCACAGGUGUAGUCUCAGGAUGAGGAAUACUGUCACUGCUUAUAAACAUCUAACAGCUGUGUUUUCAUCUUUCACUUCAACUCACAAAGUCACGGGGACACCAGAUGGAAAGUCAGCCCAUUUGUGAAAGCCUCGGUCCCCAGAGCGUGACACCGGACUCGCAGGAGAUGAAGCCUAGUGGAGGAUCUGAGUGGAGGACCUCGGCCUGCUCUCUGCUGCCUGCUUCGACAGUGUGCCUUGCUCUGUGUGUGCUCCAUGAUGACCGCUGCCCCGGCACAGGCCCGAAGGCGUGGACAGCAGCGUCUCGCCCCAAAGCCUCACGGUGACAAUUAAAUCAGCGUUUUCUUUUAUAUGCUAAUUGGCUCAGGUAUUUUGUCCUACUAAGGAAAAGCCAUCUAAAGUAAAAGGAACUCUGUUAUCCUUAUUUUAUAAUAAGGAUAAGGACAUUGAAGCUUGGUGUAAUUCAGAGAGGUCAAGUCGCUUACCAGAGUUCCAUAGCUAGCAACCCACUUGAGUGGAUCAAAUUUGGGAGAGGAAAGUUGGAGGGAAGGAAUUAGUUUCAUAGAAAGGGGCUCGCUCCUCAAGGCUUUCUCAGCCAGGCAAUGGCUUCCAGCGGGGUGGGAUCUUCUCCCACCAGUGGUGUUCUCUUUUCUUCGUAACAGACUUCAAGCAAGAUAAGGAAAGGCUUCUCUUGAACCAACAGGAUUAGAGAUGACAAAAGCUUAAAAGAGUGGUUCGUAAGUGCGGGGCAAAGGAAAAGUUUAGUGGAGCCCCUGUCCCACUGAGCAGCAGAAAUGGGACCAAGGCCCAAGCAACUUAGAUUUAGUUGCUCACAGUUAAGGGCUCUCAACUGUAAUGGUUGGUGUGUGCAGAAGUAAUGAUUUUGAUUAGGAAAUAUUUAAAAUCCCAAGAAAAAUACAAAGACUAACAUAAUGAAGUUCAUGAAUCUACCACCCAUCUCCAUUAAACGUCAACAUUCUGCUUGCUUGCUUAGUUUUCUUAAAAAGAAAAAUUACUGACACAAUUGAAGCCCUUGUGUAUUCUACUCCGAACACACUGUUCUCCCUCAGCUCUCCUGAAUUUGAGUUUCUGUUUCCCAGAUAUGUUUUGUUUGUCUGUUUGUUACUUUAUGGUACUGGGGAUUGAACCAGGGCCCGGGACAGGCAAGGCAAGCCAUCUACCACUGAGCUAUAGUCCCAGCCCUAAUCACUAGCUUUUAAAAAUUUCUGCUUUUACAAAUAAUUCUGCAGUGAACAUUCUUCAGCAUGUCCUUUUUUUGUGCUCCUAGGGGAAUUCCCAGAUGGUUUGCUGGGGUGAAGGGUGAGCCUCAUCUACCGAAAUUCUGCUCCAAGGGUGUUGGCCAGCUGAACUCCUGGCCAUAGUAUGUGAGAGUGAGGCUUGUCUCAAACUCACAACCAUCCUCCUGUCUCAGCCUCCCUAGUGCUGGGAUUACAGGUGUGCACCACCACACCCAUUGUUCUUUUUAACAAGCGUGUUUUAGACAGGGUCUCCUUUGUAGUGCAGGCUGGCCUUGAACUCACUCUGUAUCCAGGCUGGCCUUGAACUUGCAGUGAUCCUCCUGCCUCAGCCUCUCUAGUGCUGGAAUUGUAGGCGUGAGUUUUCUGUGGCUUCUUAUCUUUAUUCUCAACAUUCUUUUGAUUUUAUUUAUUUACUUAUUUUUGGUACCCAGGGUUCAAUUUAGGACCUUGUGCUUACAAGGUGGGCAAGGCACCACUGGACUAAAUCCCUGGCCUUCUUGAUUUUAAUUGUUUUGAUUUUACUUUGCUCUUCUUUUUCUAGCUUCUUAAAGCAGGAGUUUAAAAUCUCAAUGUGACAUCUUUCUUUUUUUCCAAGUAUAAGCAAGUAUAAUAGUAUGUAUUUCCCUUUAAAUACUGCUACAAACACAG